AGCAGUAGCCGCGGUAAUACGAAGGGUGCAAGCGUUACUCGGAAUUACUGGGCGUAAAGCGUGCGUAGGUGGUGGUUUAAGUCCGUUGUGAAAGCCCUGGGCUCAACCUGGGAAUUGCAGUGGAUACUGGGUCACUAGAGUGUGGUAGAGGAUAGUGGAAUUUCCGGUGUAGCGGUGAAAUGCGUAGAGAUCGGGAGGAACAUCAGUGGCGAAGGCGGCCAUCUGGGACAACACUGACGCUGAGGCACGAAAGCGUGGGGAGCAAACAGGAUUAGAUACCCCCGUAGUCCCUGUCUCUUAUAC
Molecule: ribosomal RNA, 303 nt
Filed under: uncultured bacterium
Lineage: Bacteria
Description: partial 16S ribosomal RNA
Rfam family: Bacterial small subunit ribosomal RNA
Source: RNAcentral